RNAcentral lists this transfer RNA (87 nucleotides) under Oscillospiraceae bacterium. RNAcentral describes it as "tRNA-Leu". It matches the Rfam family "tRNA". Rfam says of the family: Transfer RNA (tRNA) molecules are approximately 80 nucleotides in length. Their secondary structure includes four short double-helical elements and three loops (D, anti-codon, and T loops). The record is from RNAcentral. Lineage: Bacteria; Bacillati; Bacillota; Clostridia; Eubacteriales; Oscillospiraceae.
GCACCUGUGGCGGAAUUGGCAGACGCGCACGGUUCAGGUCCGUGUGCCAGUAAUGGCUUAGGAGUUCAAAUCUCCUCAGGUGCACCA